This 253-nucleotide ribosomal RNA is filed under the name uncultured bacterium. RNAcentral describes it as "partial 16S ribosomal RNA". It matches the Rfam family "Bacterial small subunit ribosomal RNA", at positions 524 to 776 of the family's 1533-position model. The record is from RNAcentral.
UACGUAGGGUGCGAGCGUUGUCCGGAAUUAUUGGGCGUAAAGGGCUCGUAGGCGGUUUGUCACGUCGGGAGUGAAAACCUUGGGCUUAACUCAGGGCUUGCUUUCGAUACGGGCAGACUAGAGGUAUGCAGGGGAGAACGGAAUUCCUGGUGUAGCGGUGAAAUGCGCAGAUAUCAGGAGGAACACCGGUGGCGAAGGCGGUUCUCUGGGCAUGUCCUGACGCUGAGGAGCGAAAGUGUGGGGAGCGAACAGG